Long non-coding RNA from Cynoglossus semilaevis (tongue sole), 551 nucleotides. RefSeq lists it as uncharacterized. The record is from RefSeq and is a predicted model, not a curated record. The transcript is spliced from 2 exons. Lineage: Eukaryota; Metazoa; Chordata; Actinopteri; Pleuronectiformes; Cynoglossidae.
GCUGACCACCUGAAUGUGAGCCUGCUGACGCAUCUGUUCAGCAGAUUUCAUCCCGAAACAGAUGUGGCUUCUGUAAACAGAAUUAGACGACAUGGCAAAGGACGUCACUGGCUGAACAAAAAGAAAAUCACAUCCAGGCGUCAUGAUUCUUCAGUGCAGAGCUGACCCACUUCCUAAAGCAAUACGUCACUGAAAGGACAUCACAGCACAUCUGUGGGUCAUGCACAGUUCAAUCGCUGCAAAGUGUACGUCUGAUCACGAGAUGGCAGCAAAUACAUGUACAAUAGCUGGUAAGAAAACGUAAGAAAGGGUAAACAGAGAAGAAGAGGGUUUUUUUUUGUUGUUGCUUUUUUUCCCUUGCUUUUAUGCACACUGUUGACAGUGACUGAUGACUUUCUGAUAAGAACCAUAAUCCUUGGUCUAAUUAUUUCUACUGACAACUGAAAACCUCAAACAGUGAAAAUUGUGCCCUCAAUCAUAUUUCCCUUUCUGCCAUUUCUGCUGUUGCUACUGGGAUCUAAAUAUAUGGAGACCUUCAAUUAAACCUCUCA